This 1640-nucleotide ribosomal RNA is filed under the name Escherichia coli. Its description in RNAcentral is "bacterial LSU rRNA". It matches the Rfam family "Bacterial large subunit ribosomal RNA", at positions 1 to 1663 of the family's 2925-position model. Lineage: Bacteria; Pseudomonadati; Pseudomonadota; Gammaproteobacteria; Enterobacterales; Enterobacteriaceae. The record is from RNAcentral.
GGGUUGUGAGGUUAAGCGACUAAGCGUACACGGUGGAUGCCCUGGCAGUCAGAGGCGAUGAAGGACGUGCUAAUCUGCGAUAAGCGUCGGUAAGGUGAUAUGAACCGUUAUAACCGGCGAUUUCCGAAUGGGGAAACCCAGUGUGUUUCGACACACUAUCAUUAACUGAAUCCAUAGGUUAAUGAGGCGAACCGGGGGAACUGAAACAUCUAAGUACCCCGAGGAAAAGAAAUCAACCGAGAUUCCCCCAGUAGCGGCGAGCGAACGGGGAGCAGCCCAGAGCCUGAAUCAGUGUGUGUGUUAGUGGAAGCGUCUGGAAAGGCGCGCGAUACAGGGUGACAGCCCCGUACACAAAAAUGCACAUGCUGUGAGCUCGAUGAGUAGGGCGGGACACGUGGUAUCCUGUCUGAAUAUGGGGGGACCAUCCUCCAAGGCUAAAUACUCCUGACUGACCGAUAGUGAACCAGUACCGUGAGGGAAAGGCGAAAAGAACCCCGGCGAGGGGAGUGAAAAAGAACCUGAAACCGUGUACGUACAAGCAGUGGGAGCACGCUUAGGCGUGUGACUGCGUACCUUUUGUAUAAUGGGUCAGCGACUUAUAUUCUGUAGCAAGGUUAACCGAAUAGGGGAGCCGAAGGGAAACCGAGUCUUAACUGGGCGUUAAGUUGCAGGGUAUAGACCCGAAACCCGGUGAUCUAGCCAUGGGCAGGUUGAAGGUUGGGUAACACUAACUGGAGGACCGAACCGACUAAUGUUGAAAAAUUAGCGGAUGACUUGUGGCUGGGGGUGAAAGGCCAAUCAAACCGGGAGAUAGCUGGUUCUCCCCGAAAGCUAUUUAGGUAGCGCCUCGUGAACUCAUCUCCGGGGGUAGAGCACUGUUUCGGCAAGGGGGUCAUCCCGACUUACCAACCCGAUGCAAACUGCGAAUACCGGAGAAUGUUAUCACGGGAGACACACGGCGGGUGCUAACGUCCGUCGUGAAGAGGGAAACAACCCAGACCGCCAGCUAAGGUCCCAAAGUCAUGGUUAAGUGGGAAACGAUGUGGGAAGGCCCAGACAGCCAGGAUGUUGGCUUAGAAGCAGCCAUCAUUUAAAGAAAGCGUAAUAGCUCACUGGUCGAGUCGGCCUGCGCGGAAGAUGUAACGGGGCUAAACCAUGCACCGAAGCUGCGGCAGCGACNNNNNNNNNNNACUAUGUGUUGUUGGGUAGGGGAGCGUUCUGUAAGCCUGUGAAGGUGUGCUGUGAGGCAUGCUGGAGGUAUCAGAAGUGCGANAUGCUGACAUAAGUAACGAUAAAGCGGGUGAAAAGCCCGCUCGCCGGAAGACCAAGGGUUCCUGUCCAACGUUAAUCGGGGCAGGGUGAGUCGACCCCUAAGGCGAGGCCGAAAGGCGUAGUCGAUGGGAAACAGGUUAAUAUUCCUGUACUUGGUGUUACUGCGAAGGGGGGACGGAGAAGGCUAUGUUGGCCGGGCGACGGUUGUCCCGGUUUAAGCGUGUAGGCUGGUUUUCCAGGCAAAUCCGGAAAAUCAAGGCUGAGGCGUGAUGACGAGGCACUACGGUGCUGAAGCAACAAAUGCCCUGCUUCCAGGAAAAGCCUCUAAGCAUCAGGUAACAUCAAAUCGUACCCCAAACCGACACAGG